Molecule: unclassified non-coding RNA, 241 nt
Filed under: Lanzia sp.
Lineage: Eukaryota; Fungi; Ascomycota; Leotiomycetes; Helotiales; Rutstroemiaceae
Description: partial contains 5.8S ribosomal RNA, internal transcribed spacer 2, and large subunit ribosomal RNA
Source: RNAcentral
CGCACAUUGCGCCCCUUGGUAUUCCGGGGGGCAUGCCUGUUCGAGCGUCAUUUCAACCCUCAAGCACUGCUUGGUAUUGGGCUUUUAUCUGUGAAAGGAUAAGCCUCAAAAUCAGUGGCGGCGCCGUUGGGUCCUGAACGUAGUAAUACUUUUCGUUACAGGUACCCCGCGUGCUUCUGCCAUUAAACCCCCAAUUUCUAUGGUUGACCUCGGAUCAGGUAGGGAUACCCGCUGAACUUAA